This 460-nucleotide ribosomal RNA is filed under the name uncultured bacterium. RNAcentral's name for it is "SSU rRNA". It matches the Rfam family "Bacterial small subunit ribosomal RNA", at positions 26 to 518 of the family's 1533-position model. The record is from RNAcentral.
AGAAUCAACGCUGGCGGCGUGCCUAACACAUGCAAGUCGAACGAGAAAGUGGAGCAAUCCAUGAGUAAAGUGGCGACCGGGUGAGUAACACGUGACUAACCUACCCUACAGUGGGGGAUAACUCCGGGAAACCGGGGCUAAUACCGCAUAACAUCGUAAGAUCAAAGGAGCAAUUCGCUGAAGGAGGGGGUCGCGGCUGAUUAGUUAGUUGGCGGGGUAAUGGCCCACCAAGACAGUGAUCUGUAUCCGGCCUGAGAGGGCGCACGGACACACUGGAACUGAAACACGGUCCAGACUCCUACGGGAGGCAGCAGUGGGGAAUUUUGCGCAAUGGGGGAAACCCUGACGCAGCAACGCCGCGUGGAGGAUGAAGUCUCUUGGGACGUAAACUCCUUUCGAUCGGGACGAUAAUGACGGUACCGGAAGAAGAAGCCCCGGCUAACUUCGCGCCAGCAGCCGC